Molecule: ribosomal RNA, 54 nt
Filed under: Saprolegnia sp. WD3E
Lineage: Eukaryota; Oomycota; Saprolegniomycetes; Saprolegniales; Saprolegniaceae
Description: partial 18S ribosomal RNA
Source: RNAcentral
UUUUUGAGAGGAGUCGUAACAGGUUUCCGUAGGUGAACCUGCGGAGGAUCAUUA